UAGGGAAUCUUCCACAAUGGACGAAAGUCUGAUGGAGCAACGCCGCGUGAGUGGAGAAGGGUUUCGGCUCGUAAAACUCUGUUGUUAAAGAAGAACACGUAUGAGAGUAACUGUUCAUACGUUGACGGUAUUUAACCAGAAAGUCACGGCUAACUACGUGCCAG
Molecule: ribosomal RNA, 164 nt
Filed under: uncultured bacterium
Lineage: Bacteria
Description: partial 16S ribosomal RNA
Rfam family: Bacterial small subunit ribosomal RNA
Source: RNAcentral